RNAcentral lists this ribosomal RNA (497 nucleotides) under uncultured bacterium. RNAcentral's name for it is "partial 16S ribosomal RNA". It matches the Rfam family "Bacterial small subunit ribosomal RNA", at positions 28 to 507 of the family's 1533-position model. The record is from RNAcentral.
GAUGAACGCUGGCGGCGUGCCUAAUACAUGCAAGUCGAGCGAACGGACGAGAAGCUUGCUUCUCUGAUGUUAGCGGCGGACGGGUGAGUAACACGUGGAUAACCUACCUAUAAGACUGGGAUAACUUCGGGAAACCGGAGCUAAUACCGGAUAAUAUUUUGAACCGCAUGGUUCAAAAGUGAAAGGCGGUCUUGCUGUCACUUAUAGAUGGAUCCGCGCUGCAUUAGCUAGUUGGUAAGGUAACGGCUUACCAAGGCAACGAUGCAUAGCCGACCUGAGAGGGUGAUCGGCCACACUGGAACUGAGACACGGUCCAGACGCCUACGGGAGGCAGCAGUAGGGAAUCUUCCGCAAUGGGCGAAAGCCUGACGGAGCAACGCCGCGUGAGUGAUGAAGGUCUUCGGAUCGUAAAGCUCUGUUAUUAGGGAAGAACAUAUGUGUAAGUAACUGUGCACAUCGUGACGGUACCUAAUCAGAAAGCCACGGCUAACUACGUG